CCUUUCCCCUUUCCCCUUUCC
RNAcentral lists this unclassified non-coding RNA (21 nucleotides) under synthetic construct. The record is from RNAcentral.